Molecule: ribosomal RNA, 490 nt
Filed under: uncultured bacterium
Lineage: Bacteria
Description: partial 16S ribosomal RNA
Rfam family: Bacterial small subunit ribosomal RNA
Source: RNAcentral
AUUGAACGCUGGCGGCAGGCCUAACACAUGCAAGUCGAACGGUAACAGGAAACAGCUUGCUGUUUCGCUGACGAGUGGCGGACGGGCGAGUAAUGUCUGGGAAACUGCCUGAUGGAGGGGGAUAACUACUGGAAACGGUAGCUAAUACCGCAUAACGUCGCAAGACCAAAGAGGGGGACCUUCGGGCCUCUUGCCAUCGGAUGUGCCCAGAUGGGAUUAGCUAGUAGGUGGGGUAACGGCUCACCUAGGCGACGAUCCCUAGCUGGUCUGAGAGGAUGACCAGCCACACUGGAACUGAGACACGGUCCAGACUCCUACGGGAGGCAGCAGUGGGGAAUAUUGCACAAUGGGCGCAAGCCUGAUGCAGCCAUGCCGCGUGUAUGAAGAAGGCCUUCGGGUUGUAAAGUACUUUCAGCGGGGAUGAAGGGAGUAAAGUUAAUACCUUUGCUCAUUGACGUUACCCGCAGAAGAAGCACCGGCUAACUCCGUG